RNAcentral lists this long non-coding RNA (4226 nucleotides) under Malus domestica (apple). RNAcentral describes it as "long non-coding RNA (MDOM_LNC014406)". The record is from RNAcentral. Lineage: Eukaryota; Viridiplantae; Streptophyta; Magnoliopsida; Rosales; Rosaceae.
GCUUCUCCUCUCUUGCAAAAUCAAAAGUACUCAAACUAACAAUAGGUCUUAGUUCAAUAUUGAGCGUAUAUUUUGUGAGAGCAGUGGCUUAUGUUUUUAUACUAAACAUAGAUUGCCCUAUUACAAUCCUACAAGGAAUACAAGACCAAAUCCUUGUAUAAGUAUGAGUUCUAUUCUCGAGCCAACAGUAGAGUUUCAAUCCAAACCAAAGUUGAAUUAACUCUUAUAAACACAUUAAGACAUCUUUAUACCAAUCUGAAAUAACAAUGAUUAUUACUAAACUGUGAGAAUCACACUCAUACUCUAACAUUCUCCCACUUGAGUAUGAUUCACAACAGUAAAUAAUCAUCUCAAAUUCAAUAUAAAGGUGAUGACAUAAGUCAUUCAUCAACACACUAGUACAUAGACACAACCAGCUUACAUAAACCAAAACAAUGAAUUUAUAAUUGCCUAUGCAACACAAAAUACAGAUUUAACUUACAAAUCACAAUGUCUAGUUCAUGUUCAUAGCAAUGUAUCUAAGCUUAAAAGUAAACCAAGACGUCUACUCCCACUCAUAUAGCCACAAAAUCUUUUGGAUAACAAAAGCUUAACCUCACAUACAACUUACCUAUGCAUUUUAAAGUAUUGAACUUAAGAAUCUUUUCUGUUACAUCGCAGAAUUAACUCAAAAGUCACAACAUACUUAAUUUGCACUUUGUAAUUAUGUGAACCAAUAUAGCAAAACCAAACCAAUUUGCUCCCACUUAACUGGGCUAUACUUAACACAAACAAGUUAAGUAUAAGUUAAUAUCAACUGUAUUAACUAAUGGUCAUUGCAAUACACUGAAUGUCUUAUCAAUGUGAUUUGCGCAAUUGCAACAAAUUUAUGAAAUUCAUGAUCCAUCCAAUUUGUAUUUACACAAAUUUUACAACAAUGUGAUUUUACUUACUAAGAACAACACACACAAAUUGAUUUGCUCCCACUAUAUCAAGUUAAGUUUAGUUCCAGCAAAUAGCACUAAACUUCUCAUUACUUAAACAAAUUAAGUAACAUAAAUAAUUACCAAUUGCUUCAAUAAAACCAUAAUCUGGUUUUCAAGCAUCCAAAUGGAUUAUAUAAUGGCCGGCCUAAUUAACCUUAUGCUUACAUUCUUCUUCUCCCACUUAAGCAUAAGCAGAAAUGUACUGCACAGCCAAUAAAGAAACCGGAGAUAUGAACCAAUUGAUUCCCGAUUCCUUACCAAUUGCAUAAUCUCAGUUUACCAAUUACCAUUAUAUCAAUACAAGUCUAUGUAUAAAAUUAUGCAAUCACAUCAUCGGAAAAAGAUCUCACAAUCCCAAAAUCACUAGUUUCAACAAUGAUCAAUAAUCAAAAUCAGAAUAGCAAGCAACAAUAUUUUUGCAUUCAAUUUGAUCCUAACUACUAGUUCAAUAUCCAUCGAGCAAGAUCGAUCAAAUUUUGAUAAUGUCUGGAUAUAUAUAUCACAACAACAUGUCUUGAUUAAAACGAGAUAAUCAAGACCACUAUUUCUUCUGGAGAACUCGAAGUUCAUCUUCCUCCCUAUUUGUGAUUUCAACCAAAAUAUAAUAGCGGAAGCAUGCAUCAUGAAAUCACAAAUAUACAUAUACAAUAAGCAAUAAAGCAUGCAUCGAUAUAUACAUGAUAAGAUUAGUCGACGACAAUAUCCAAAAAAAAAAAAUAUUCAUGCCUUUAAUUCAUUGUCAACACCAUCAUCAAUUAUAUACAGAUUCGUAAGCAAGUCCUUGGAGAAAAUAACGAUAGCCACAUAUCAUUAAUCUUAUGAAUUUCCAAUAAGAUGACAAAAUAAUUAUUUGCUUUCCGAUUCAUAAUAGAAUAUAUAUAUUGUAAAUGGCUAAAAGUUUAUUGUCACAACUCAUUAUAGGCAGUCAAUAAAACAUCUACCUUUAUAUUCAUCAUCUGUUCAUAUAUAUAUAUAUUUUUUUUUUUUUGUAUGCAUGCAUGCAUCAAUAUGCAGAGAAACUUAUGCAAGUUCCAUUUGAUAUAUAUAAAAACGCAUGCCCAUAAUUACAACGUCUAUGCACGAAUGCUAUCUCCAUAUAUAUACAGAUUUCAUUCAAAUAUGCUAUUAUGUAUAAAUCACAAAGCAAUUUGCAUCCACUUUAUAUAUGCAUUUAUUUUUGUCGCUUUAUAAUACCUCCUGACUUGCAUAUGAUAUGCAGUCAAAUCCAUUCCAACCCAAACUUGAUAUAAAUCAAACCAAUUGAAAAUCAGGAAUUGACACUAAGAUGUGCAUGUGUAGCUCCCCGCAAUUUAAAUGUAUCGAGAUUCAUACAUGAAAAAAUGCAUACACAUUGACUCUUUAAUGAAAAAUAGAAGAGUAUAUCUAGACAUACACUAAUUUAUUUAUGCAGCAAAGGAUGAUUCCAGACAUCUCACAUAAAUCACAAGUUGGCAUCUAUAGGGAUUUCGAGUUUAAUCAUGCCUUCACAAUAUAUAUAAAUAAACAAGCAUACUCGAAAUAGCAAAAGCCCUAAUUCAUUAUGCUCCAACUCAUCGAACUAUAAUCACGCAUAUAGGAGAACAAUUAAUCAUGCAUGUAACAGUGAAGUGAGUUACCUGAAUGCAUCAUUGGACCCGUAUUCGUCAACCCGAUUGCAAUUCCUUGGCUCCAAAUCAACGAAAUAAAUUAUCCAUCAAUGCUUGAGACCCAUCCAUAUGGAUUGCCAUCACUCCAAAUUCCUAUGGACCUCGUACCAUUGCAGAUUAUCGAAGUGCAUUGCCAUUGUUACAGUCGCGAUUUCAAUUGAAACAUCAAAAACCAAAAGAAACAGCAUGCGGGUCAAUAAAAUGCAAAUAAAGUCUGUAAAUAUUUCAUAAGCAUUGUACGACAUCAUGGUUUGAAAACCCAGAACAUCUAUCUAUAUUUAUGACCAUUAUUAAUACAAGAGAGAUCAGAAAAACAGAAAAUACCAUAAGUUGCAGACAUCAUUAACAACGCAACGGAAGCAAUAGUUACCAGAAAUAUAUAAUUAUAUUUUGGUGAGAUUUGAUGUUAACAGAUCACUUACAUGGAUCUUCUAGAGACAAACAAGAUGAAGAUGUCUGCAGACAUGAUCAAAAGAUCGCUGGUUGUUUUCUUCUUUUGAAUCGAUAAUGGUCAUAAAACUUUUAAAAAUAGUUUAAAGAACCCAGUUUUCUUUUGGGCAGCCAAGAGUCAUUUAAUAAAAAAUUAUUCGCACAAAACGACGUCGCAUUCCUUGUUCUUCAGAAAACCAAAUAGACAGACUUUAUAUGUUGCAGAUUUUAGGAAAUGAUUUUUGAUCGAAUUUAGUUGUUAAAUUCAAUGGCUCUGAUACCACAUGUAAGAAUAAGCAUAGCCUUUAUAAUAUACUUAGCCAAGAACACAAGAAUUUAGCAACUAAAUCACAACCAACGCAUCAAAUAUGUUCUACAUAUGCAAAUACUGAAGUAAUAUCUGCAACACGUACCUGCAGACUGUUUGACGAAGUUUUUUCCCAUGUGUGCUGUCAGAAGACAACAGAUGGUGCAGCUCUGGAUGUCAUUGGAAGGCAGUCACAAGAUAGUUGUAUGCGUGUACUGUGGACACAUAGACCUUAUCAUCUUCAUCAGUACAAGUUGUCAAGAUCUUAAAGAAACUCGACAGAUUCUCGUUCUCCAUAAGCCUCUCUGGUGAGAUUCCAUAUUUAUGGUUUUGCAUUACAAGAUAAUCUGUACUCAACUUCUUAAGCAAGUCCGGAGGAAAUCUUUGAAAAACAGUUCCUUCAAUAACGGCGUUCUCGGUAAAUUGUAAAGUUUGUAUGUUGUAGUGUAUGUAACAAAGCCUUCCCGUAAGGCCUGAGAUAUGAAAUUGAUUUGAAAAGCUGCCGUGUUUCUAAGUUUAACAUAGACAUGUUCAUGGAUGAAGAAGCCAUGGACGAAUCUACACACAAGCUUCUCCUCUCUUGCAAAAUCAAAAGUACUCAAACUAACAAUAGGUCUUAGUUCAAUAUUGAGCGUAUAUUUUGUGAGAGCAGUGGCUUAUGUUUUUAUACUAAACAUAGAUUGCCCUAUUACAAUCCUACAAGGAAUACAAGACCAAAUCCUUGUAUAAGUAUGAGUUCUAUUCUCGAGCCAACAGUAGAGUUUCAAUCCAAACCAAAGUUGAAUUAACUCUUAUAAACACAUUAAGACAUCUUUAUACCAAUCUGAAAUAACAAUGAUUAUUACUAAACUGUGAGAAUCACACUCAUACUCUAACACU